CCUACGGGUGGCAGCAGUGAGGAAUAUUGGUCAAUGGACGAGAGUCUGAACCAGCCAAGUAGCGUGAAGGAUGACUGCCCUAUGGGUUGUAAACUUCUUUUAUAUGGGAAUAAAAUGUUCCACGUGUGGGAUUUUGUAUGUACCAUAUGAAUAAGGAUCGGCUAACUCCGUGCCAGCAGCCGCGGUAAUACGGAGGAUCCGAGCGUUAUCCGGAUUUAUUGGGUUUAAAGGGAGCGUAGGUGGAUUGUUAAGUCAGUUGUGAAAGUUUGCGGCUCAACCGUAAGAUUGCAGUUGAAACUGGCAGUCUUGAGUACAGUAGAGGUGGGCGGAAUUCGUGGUGUAGCGGUGAAAUGCUUAGAUAUCACGAAGAACUCCGAUUGCGAAGGCAGUUCACUGGACUGCAACUGACGCUGAGGCUCGAAAGUGUGGGUAUCAAACAGGAUUAGAUACCCCUGUAGUC
RNAcentral lists this ribosomal RNA (460 nucleotides) under uncultured bacterium. RNAcentral's name for it is "partial 16S ribosomal RNA". It matches the Rfam family "Bacterial small subunit ribosomal RNA", at positions 338 to 795 of the family's 1533-position model. The record is from RNAcentral.